AACUUGAGAGUUUGAUCAUGGCUCAGAACGUACGCUGGCGGCACGCCUAACACAUGCAAGUCGAACGAAGUAGCAAUACUUAGUGGCAGACGGGUGAGUAACAUGUAGGUAUCUGCCCUUUGGCCUGGAAUAACACGAGGAAACUUGUGCUAAUACCGGAUAAGUCUUUACAGAGAAAGCUUUAUGCACCAUUGGAUGAGCCUGCACUUGAUUAGUUUGUUGGUGGGGUAAUGGCCUACCAAGACUGUGAUCAAUAGCUGAUUUGAGAGGAUGAUCAGCCACAUUGGGACUGAGACACGGCCCAAACUCCUACGGGAGGCAGCAGUGGGGAAUCUUGCACAAUGGAGGAAACUCUGAUGCAGCGAUGCCGCGUGAGUGAAGAAGGCCUUUGGGUUGUAAAGCUCUUUCGUCGGGGAAGAAAAUGACUGUACCCGAAUAAGAAGGUCCGGCUAACUUCGUGCCAGCAGCCGCGGUAAUACGAAGGGACCUAGCGUAGUUCGGAAUUACUGGGCUUAAAGAGUUCGUAGGUGGUUGAAAAAGUUAGUGGUGAAAUCCCAGAGCUUAACUCUGGAACUGCCAUUAAAACUUUUCAGCUAGAGUAUGAUAGAGGAAAGUAGAAUUUCUAGUGUAGAGGUGAAAUUCGUAGAUAUUAGAAAGAAUACCAAUUGCGAAGGCAGCUUUCUGGAUCAUUACUGACACUGAGGAACGAAAGCAUGGGUAGCGAAGAGGAUUAGAUACCCUCGUAGUCCAUGCCGUAAACGAUGUGUGUUAGACGUUGGAGAUUUAUUUUCAGUGUCGCAGCGAAAGCGAUAAACACACCGCCUGGGGAGUACGACCGCAAGGUUAAAACUCAAAUGAAUUGACGGGGACCCGCACAAGUAGUGGAGCAUGUGGUUUAAUUCGAAGAUACGCGCAGAACCUUACCAACACUUGACAUGUUCGUCGCGACUUUAAGAGAUUAAAGUUUUCGGUUCGGCCGGACGAAACACAGGUGCUGCAUGGCUGUCGUCAGCUCGUGUCGUGAGAUGUUGGGUUAAGUCCCGCAACGAGCGCAACCCUCACUUUUAGUUGCCAUCAUUAAGUUGGGCACUCUGAAAGAACUGCCAGUGAUAAGCUGGAGGAAGGUGGGGAUGACGUCAAGUCCUCAUGGCCCUUACGUGUUGGGCUACACACGUGCUACAAUGGUAUCUACAACAGGAAGCAAGACUGCGAGGUCGAGCAAAUCCUUAAAAGAUACCUCAGUUCGGAUUGCACUCUGCAACUCGAGUGCAUGAAGCUGGAAUUACUAGUAAUCGUGGAUCAGCGUGCCACGGUGAAUGCGUUCCCGGGUCUUGUACACACCGCCCGUCACACCAUGGGAGUUGGUUCUACCUUAAGGCAAGGUUUCAAACCCUUGACCACGGUAUAGUCAGCGACUGGGGUGAAGUCGUAACAAGGUAGCCGUAGGGGAACCUGCGGCUGGAUUACCUCCUUUCUAA
Molecule: ribosomal RNA, 1478 nt
Filed under: Pelagibacterales bacterium SAG-MED45
Lineage: Bacteria; Pseudomonadati; Pseudomonadota; Alphaproteobacteria; Candidatus Pelagibacterales
Description: bacterial SSU rRNA
Rfam family: Bacterial small subunit ribosomal RNA
Source: RNAcentral